AACAAAGGCCACAAAUGUCACAGGAGAUGAUUGUGCAACUUGCAUUCAUAGAUCUGUAAGGAAAAAUAAAAAGCAUGCUCUCCGUGGCUGGAUUUAAAAAAACAAAAAUCCAGAAACCUUCCAACACAGAGAAUCUAUCAACUCACCCUCAUCAUGUCACAAAAAUAAAUCAGCAAACAAUUACCAAUGAAAACACUCUGUGGUGAAAACACUCCAUUCAUCCCAGUUACCGAGCCUUUCCCAGACUCUGCUUUGGAGAUUUCACCGGACCCUCCUCCUUGGCCUCUUGUUAGUCACAGCUGGUUGUGUCUUGCAUGAAACAGGAGUGCUCAAUUUUGGUUUUAGGCUAUUAUUACCCCGCCCAUCCUCUCCAUAUGGAACAGAAUGAAAUUAAACAACAUUUCUAAAGAAUAAAGACUUGGAUGCAGCCCAUGUUUUCUUGUGAGUCUGCUACAGCUGUUAAUUUGUGGAAAACCUCAG
This is a non-coding RNA of Pelodiscus sinensis (Chinese soft-shelled turtle), 480 nucleotides long. NCBI's taxonomy places the organism in Eukaryota, Metazoa, Chordata, Testudines, Trionychidae. The record is from RefSeq and is a predicted model, not a curated record.